Teleopsis dalmanni is the source of this 621-nucleotide long non-coding RNA. RefSeq lists it as uncharacterized. The record is from RefSeq and is a predicted model, not a curated record. The transcript has 3 exons. Lineage: Eukaryota; Metazoa; Arthropoda; Insecta; Diptera; Diopsidae.
UGGCUUUGUAACUAUCUUAUAGGCAGAUUAUGCUUUGUUGACUUUGGAAAUAAAAUGUCAAAGGUUGAAUUGAAGCAAUUGCAAUUGAAGCAAUUUCAAUUCAUAUAUGUCUAAACUCCCAGACUCCCUGAGGGAGACAGAGUCAUAACAUAUGCAGAUGAUUGCACAAUUCUAACUACGUGCUAGGAUCACUCUAUAUUGUGCAAAUAUAAAUAUAUAUCUCCCCUCUGCAGCAUCGUUUUUGGAUAAUAGAAAAUUUCACCUAUCACCAAAAAAAUCCUGUCACUCUCUUUACUUCCUGGACUAAAGAGCUAUCUAUAACUCUGACCAUAAAUAAAUACAAUUUUUUAAUCCUUUAUUUACUUCAAUAAAAGGGAUAUAUUCAGAACAUUUACACUGUAGCAAUUAACUUGUUAGUGUCAUUCGUUCAUAUCCGAUAUUUAUAAUGUAAAUAUAACAUUACUAUAUACACUAGCAUGUGUUUCUUAAUGUAUCUCUGGAAACUAAGAUCUUCAACCAACGAGAAAUAGUAGAAGCAAUAUUACAAACACAAAGGAACUACAAAUCAGUUGUAAAGUUAAACCCAAGCAUGGAAAAUGCAAUUGAAUUAAAAAAUUUUUG